RNAcentral lists this long non-coding RNA (652 nucleotides) under Equus caballus (horse). RNAcentral describes it as "lncRNA (ENSECAG00000053541.1)". The record is from RNAcentral. Lineage: Eukaryota; Metazoa; Chordata; Mammalia; Perissodactyla; Equidae.
CGGCUGACCUCUUGCCACGCCACCGUUGCCUCUCUCUCUCCAUGCUCCAUGGGCACCGCGAUGCCAGCAGUCUCCCUGAGGAGCCAGGCCUCGGGCUGUGCAGGCCCCUUGCAUUAAGAGACCCUCUGCAUAUCUUCUUUCCCUCCCACUGAAGUCGACAAUGUGACUGCAUGAACUCACAGGAUAAAUUAGAUUGUGGUGCCCGAGAGACAUUCAAGUGGAGCUGACUUGGGCUGUCUAGAAGAGAGGCGACGGGUGGCUCCGAAGGAAGAGGCCUGACACCGAGUCCGGAAGAACGUCGCAUCGAGGCAGAGGGCGCAGGACGAGCCAGCGACAAAGGCGGGGGCGGAGCAGCGGAGGGGUAGGCGCGAGGCAACGGCAGCCUUGGCCGCGCGGGCCACGCUCAGAACUUGGCAAGCCCUCUUUCCCAAACACUCGCCCCCAGCCGCCCCGGCCUCCCGGCGAACAACGCCUGUGCCUAAUCGCGCCGGGGACACCUAAUCCCGCCGCGCGCCGCUCCAGCCCGCGCCGCGCUCCCGAGGGCAGGGGCUCCAAGGGCGAGGGCUCCUGACGGCCUGGGCUCCGAGGGUCUUGGCUCCGAGGGCGGGGGCUCCGAUAGGAGGGGCUCCGAGGGCUGGGGCUCCGAUGCUUG